CCCUUAGAUGUUCUGGGCUGCACGCGCGCUACACUGAAGCUAUCAACACGUUUUCCCUCCCUGAGAAGGGCGGGUAACCUUUUGAAUCAGCUUCGUGGUAGGGAUCGGGGCUUGCAAUUGUUCCCCGUGAACCAGGAAUUCCUAGUAGACGCGAGUCAUAAGCUCGCAUCGAUUAAGUCCCUGCCCUUUGUACACACCGCCCGUCGCUACUACCGAUUGAACGUGUUAGUGAGGCAUUUGGACCGACGCAUCUCAGUUUAACCGCUGGUUUGUGUUGGAAAGACUUCCAAACUUGAGCGUUUAGAGGAAGUAAAAGUCGUAACA
RNAcentral lists this ribosomal RNA (324 nucleotides) under uncultured eukaryote. RNAcentral's name for it is "partial 18S ribosomal RNA". It matches the Rfam family "Eukaryotic small subunit ribosomal RNA", at positions 1470 to 1796 of the family's 1831-position model. The record is from RNAcentral.